ACAAGCGGUGGAGCAUGUGGUUUAAUUCGAAGAUACGCGAAAAACCUUACCAGGUCUUGACAUACCAAUGAUCGCUUUUGUAAUGAAAGCUUUUCUUCGGAACAUUGGAUACAGGUGGUGCAUGGUCGUCGUCAGCUCGUGUCGUGAGAUGUUGGGUUAAGUCCCGCAACGAGCGCAACCCUUGUUAUUAGUUGCCAGCAUUUAGUUGGGCACUCUAAUGAGACUGCCGGUGAUAAACCGGAGGAAGGUGGGGACGACGUCAGAUCAUCAUGCCCCUUAUGACCUGGGCAACGCACGUGCUACAAUGGGAAGUACAACGAGUCGCAAACCGGCGACGGUAAGCUAAUCUCUUAAAACUUCUCUCAGUUCGGACUGGAGUCUGCAACUCGACUCCACGAAGGCGGAAUCGCUAGUAAUCGCGAAUCAGCAUGUCGCGGUGAAUACGUUCCCGGGUCUUGUACACACCGCCCGUCAAAUCAUGGGAGUCGGAAGUACCCAAAGUCGCUUGGCUAACUUUUAGAGGCCGGUGCCUAAGGUAAAAUCGAUGACUGGGAUUAAGUCGUAACAAGGUAGCCGUAGGAGAACCUGCGGCUGGAUCACCUCCUUUCUAAGGA
RNAcentral lists this ribosomal RNA (614 nucleotides) under Oenococcus oeni. RNAcentral describes it as "bacterial SSU rRNA". It matches the Rfam family "Bacterial small subunit ribosomal RNA", at positions 925 to 1533 of the family's 1533-position model. Lineage: Bacteria; Bacillati; Bacillota; Bacilli; Lactobacillales; Lactobacillaceae. The record is from RNAcentral.